AUUUUUUAAAAUGGGGCCAAGUAACAGUUAAAAUUGGAAUGCUACAGAGAUUAGCACGGGCCCUGUGCAAGGAUGACGCAAAUUUGUGAAGCGUUCCGUAUUUUU
Molecule: small nuclear RNA, 105 nt
Organism: Pteronotus mesoamericanus
Lineage: Eukaryota; Metazoa; Chordata; Mammalia; Chiroptera; Mormoopidae
Source: RefSeq, a predicted model, not a curated record